GGGGCCGUAGCUCAGCUGGGAGAGCGCGACGCUUGCACCGUCGAGGUCAGGGGUUCGAGCCCCCUCGGCUCCACCA
Molecule: transfer RNA, 76 nt
Filed under: Marinivivus vitaminiproducens
Lineage: Bacteria; Pseudomonadati; Pseudomonadota; Alphaproteobacteria; Geminicoccales; Geminicoccaceae
Description: Geminicoccaceae bacterium SCSIO 64248 tRNA-Ala
Rfam family: tRNA
About the family: Transfer RNA (tRNA) molecules are approximately 80 nucleotides in length. Their secondary structure includes four short double-helical elements and three loops (D, anti-codon, and T loops). Further hydrogen bonds mediate the characteristic L-shaped molecular structure. tRNAs have two regions of fundamental functional importance: the anti-codon, which is responsible for specific mRNA codon recognition, and the 3' end, to which the tRNAs corresponding amino acid is attached (by aminoacyl-tRNA synthetases). tRNAs cope with the degeneracy of the genetic code in two manners: having more than one tRNA (with a specific anti-codon) for a particular amino acid; and 'wobble' base-pairing, i.e. permitting non-standard base-pairing at the 3rd anti-codon position.
Source: RNAcentral